GGGGAAUUAAGCUAACUGGCUAAACUGAUAGCUUUGCAAGCUAUAUUAGAGGGUUCGAGUCCCUCAUUCUCCA
Molecule: transfer RNA, 73 nt
Filed under: Crassvirales sp.
Lineage: Duplodnaviria; Heunggongvirae; Uroviricota; Caudoviricetes; Crassvirales
Description: tRNA-Ala
Rfam family: tRNA
About the family: Transfer RNA (tRNA) molecules are approximately 80 nucleotides in length.
Source: RNAcentral